Molecule: long non-coding RNA, 262 nt
Filed under: Vitis vinifera (wine grape)
Lineage: Eukaryota; Viridiplantae; Streptophyta; Magnoliopsida; Vitales; Vitaceae
Description: long non-coding RNA (VVIN_LNC001570)
Source: RNAcentral
AAAUUUCAAGGACAAGGAAUAUGAAAACAAUUCUUAUGUAGCACAAGUAUUCUAAUUAAGAUUAGAAAUAAAGAUUUUGGAAAAUAUCAUGAUAGAUAAUUUAUUUUAAGAAGGUUACCAAAGUUACAUAAAGUCUCUUAUAUCAAAAUAUUAAGUGAGAGAAGGUCAUAGGCUCAUCACUAUCCUAAAGAUGGGGUGGCCUUAGGAAUCAAAGGAUGUGGACUAUCCUUAUGGACAAUAUUAUAUAUGCUUAUAGUGGGAG